Cloeon dipterum is the source of this 305-nucleotide long non-coding RNA. RefSeq lists it as uncharacterized. The transcript is spliced from 2 exons. Lineage: Eukaryota; Metazoa; Arthropoda; Insecta; Ephemeroptera; Baetidae. The record is from RefSeq and is a predicted model, not a curated record.
CGUAUUAUUAAUAAUAUGUUUACGCAUCCAUCAUCUAUUUAUAGAAUCCAUGCCUAGGCUACUAAAAAUCAAUAAGAUAUAAUCAUUGUACUUGUAUCAAAGAGGGGAAUUCUCUAGAUUCGUCGGAAGAACGCGAAAAGAGUAGUUUCUGCUCUUGUGGAAAAGAAAUUAUCUGCGCGGUUCGCCAGUUUUAGGUAUCUGCAAUUUGGUGCAAGUAUAAGUGGUGCAUAUUAUUCUUGCCUUUUUAUAAAGAAUAUUACCACACUUAGCAAUUAAGAGAAUAGAACUGUGAGGAAAAAAUAAAA